RNAcentral lists this ribosomal RNA (393 nucleotides) under uncultured bacterium. RNAcentral describes it as "partial 16S ribosomal RNA". It matches the Rfam family "Bacterial small subunit ribosomal RNA", at positions 523 to 918 of the family's 1533-position model. The record is from RNAcentral.
AUACGGAAGACGCGAGCGUUAUCCGGAUUCAUUGGGUUUAAAGGGUGCGCAGGCGGCCGUGCAAGUCAGCGGUGAAAGCCCGGGGCUCAACCCCGGAAGUGCCGUUGAUACUGCAUGGCUGGAAUGCGGUCGAGGCGGGGGGAACGUGGCGUGUAGCGGGGAAAAGCGUAGAUAUGCCACAGAACGCCGAUAGCGGAGGAAGCUCGCCAGGCCUGCAUUGACGCUCGGGCACGAAAGCGUGGGGAUCGAACAGGAUUAGAUACCCUGGUAGUCCACGCCGUAAACGAUGGGCGCUCGUCGUCGGCGGCAGACAGUCGGCGGCCAAGCGAAAGCGAUAAGCGCCCCACCUGGGGAGUACGGUCGCAAGGCUGAAACUCAAAUGAAUUGACGGGG